RNAcentral lists this microRNA precursor (89 nucleotides) under Choloepus hoffmanni (Hoffmann's two-fingered sloth). Its description in RNAcentral is "miRNA (ENSCHOG00000015510.1)". It matches the Rfam family "Eukaryotic large subunit ribosomal RNA", at positions 1424 to 1512 of the family's 3401-position model. The record is from RNAcentral. Lineage: Eukaryota; Metazoa; Chordata; Mammalia; Pilosa; Megalonychidae.
CAGGUGGAACCACCACAGCUGAAGAUCUUGGCAGCGGUAGCAAAUAUUCAAAUGAGAACUUUGAAGGCUGAAGUGGAGAAGGGUUCCUU